Molecule: long non-coding RNA, 279 nt
Filed under: Lathyrus oleraceus (garden pea)
Lineage: Eukaryota; Viridiplantae; Streptophyta; Magnoliopsida; Fabales; Fabaceae
Description: Pisum sativum (pea) long non-coding RNA (PSAT_LNC017241)
Source: RNAcentral
AAGUUAUGCUCUUAAACUCAAAACUAGAAGAGAUAACCAAGUAUGUAAGGAUGCUGAAUAAUGGAUCUGACUUCUUAGACAAGAUUCUCCACAUUGGACCAAUCACAAGAGCCAAAUCUGGAAUAGGGUACCAUAAAUCUAAGGUUGAAAGCAGUUACACUAGUUGCAAACCUCAAGCUAAACCUAAAUGCAGCAACAGUAAGAGCAGUCCUAAGAUGUCACAUCAUAUGUCACAUCAUCAGAAGAGAAAACAGCAGAAAGGCAAACACCAAAGAUGGA